Molecule: small RNA, 28 nt
Filed under: Bombyx mori (domestic silkworm)
Lineage: Eukaryota; Metazoa; Arthropoda; Insecta; Lepidoptera; Bombycidae
Description: ovarian small RNA-32944
Source: RNAcentral
UGAUGUGCUUGCGCCGAUGCGUUGGUAU